RNAcentral lists this ribosomal RNA (677 nucleotides) under Escherichia coli. RNAcentral describes it as "bacterial SSU rRNA". It matches the Rfam family "Bacterial small subunit ribosomal RNA", at positions 1 to 667 of the family's 1533-position model. Lineage: Bacteria; Pseudomonadati; Pseudomonadota; Gammaproteobacteria; Enterobacterales; Enterobacteriaceae. The record is from RNAcentral.
AAAUUGAAGAGUUUGAUCAUGGCUCAGAUUGAACGCUGGCGGCAGGCCUAACACAUGCAAGUCGAACGGUAACAGGAAGAAGCUUGCUUCUUUGCUGACGAGUGGCGGACGGGUGAGUAAUGUCUGGGAAACUGCCUGAUGGAGGGGGAUAACUACUGGAAACGGUAGCUAAUACCGCAUAACGUCGCAAGACCAAAGAGGGGGACCUUCGGGCCUCUUGCCAUCGGAUGUGCCCAGAUGGGAUUAGCUAGUAGGUGGGGUAACGGCUCACCUAGGCGACGAUCCCUAGCUGGUCUGAGAGGAUGACCAGCCACACUGGAACUGAGACACGGUCCAGACUCCUACGGGAGGCAGCAGUGGGGAAUAUUGCACAAUGGGCGCAAGCCUGAUGCAGCCAUGCCGCGUGUAUGAAGAAGGCCUUCGGGUUGUAAAGUACUUUCAGCGGGGAGGAAGGGAGUAAAGUUAAUACCUUUGCUCAUUGACGUUACCCGCAGAAGAAGCACCGGCUAACUCCGUGCCAGCAGCCGCGGUAAUACGGAGGGUGCAAGCGUUAAUCGGAAUUACUGGGCGUAAAGCGCACGCAGGCGGUUUGUUAAGUCAGAUGUGAAAUCCCCGGGCUCAACCUGGGAACUGCAUCUGAUACUGGCAAGCUUGAGUCUCGUAGAGGGGGGUAGAAU